CAUGCCGCGUGCAGGAUGAAUGCCCUAUGGGUUGUAAACUGCUUUUAUAUACCAAGAAACCNUCGGACGUGUCCGAGGCUGACGGUAGUAUAUGAAUAAGGACCGGCUAACUCCGUGCCAGCAGCCGCGGUAAUACGGAGGGUCCAAGCGUUAUCCGGAUUUAUUGGGUUUAAAGGGUUCGUAGGCGGGGUAUUAAGUCAGUGGUGAAAGCCCACAGCUCAACUGUGGAACUGCCAUUGAUACUGGUACUCUUGAGUAUAGUAGAAGUUAGCGGAAUGUGUCAUGUAGCGGUGAAAUGCUUAGAUAUGACCCAGAACACCGAUUGCGAAAGCAGCUAACUAUGUUAUUACUGACGCUGAGGAACGAAAGCGUGGGGAGCGAACAGGAUUAGAUACCCUGGUAGUCCACGCCGUAAACGAUGAUUACUCGAUAUUGGCUUCGGUCAGUGUCCAAGCGAAAGUGAUAAGUAAUCCACCUGGGGAGUACGCUCGCAAGAGUGA
This 500-nucleotide ribosomal RNA is filed under the name uncultured Bacteroidota bacterium. RNAcentral's name for it is "bacterial SSU rRNA". It matches the Rfam family "Bacterial small subunit ribosomal RNA", at positions 393 to 897 of the family's 1533-position model. The record is from RNAcentral. Lineage: Bacteria; Pseudomonadati; Bacteroidota.